UACGUAGGGGGCAAGCGUUGUCCGGAUUUAUUGGGCGUAAAGAGCGUGUAGGCGGCCGUACAGGUCAGCUGUGAAAACUCGAGGCUCAACCUCGAGACGUCGGUUGAAACCGUACGGCUAGAGUCCGGAAGAGGAGAGUGGAAUUCCCCGGUGUAGCGGUGAAAUGCGCAGAGUAUCGGGAAGAACACCCGUGGCGAAGGCGGCUCUCUGGGACGGUACUGACGCUGAGACGCGAAAGCGUGGGGAGCGAACAGG
Molecule: ribosomal RNA, 255 nt
Filed under: uncultured bacterium
Lineage: Bacteria
Description: partial 16S ribosomal RNA
Rfam family: Bacterial small subunit ribosomal RNA
Source: RNAcentral